RNAcentral lists this long non-coding RNA (7369 nucleotides) under Jatropha curcas. RNAcentral describes it as "long non-coding RNA (JCUR_LNC002784)". Lineage: Eukaryota; Viridiplantae; Streptophyta; Magnoliopsida; Malpighiales; Euphorbiaceae. The record is from RNAcentral.
UCGGCACCACCACCCACAACCGCCAGGCCAAGCUCCGCGCUCAUGGAUGCGACCCACAAGCAGCGGCAGCUGCCACUUCCAGUAUCCAUUUUCAUGACUUUGAAAUCCCUACCUUUUCAUGUCCUUCUGCAAACCCAAAUGCAAAAAACAAAUUCCCUUCUCACCUGCUUCCGGCUUUCUACGCCUCUGUAUCUAAUCUCCGAGAACCGGUGUCUUUUCUUCUCCGCUCGCUUUCUUGCGAAGCAAGAAAGAUUAUUGUUAUUCAUGAUUCUUUAAUGGGGUCAGUAGUUCAAGAAGUUCGGUUCAUUUCCAAUGCAGAAUCUUACACUUUCCACAGCGUAUCUGCUUUUACUCUCUGCUUGUUUCUUUCGGAGAAAAUGGGGAGAAAUAUAAAGCUAAAUGAAACGAUCCCAGAAGAACUUCCUUCCCUUGAAGGUUGUUUUACCAAUGAGUUCUUGGAUUUCACCGCCUCCCAGUAUGAUUACCAUAAGUUCAAUUCAGGUUGUAUUUACAACACUAGCAGAUUAAUAGAAGGUGCUUACAUAGACUUAAUUGAAAACGAAGUGAAAGAAUCAAUGCAGAAGAACAUCAAGAAGCACUGGGCAUUAGGGCCUUUUAAUCCGUUAACCAUACCGGACAAAGAACGUUUACAAGAACAGCACUUUUGCUUAAAAUGGCUAGACAAACACGAAAGAAACUCGGUUAUUUAUGUGUCGUUUGGUACUACGACGACUCUGAAUAAUGAACAGAUCAAGCAAUUAGCCAUUGGUUUAAAGCGAAGCAAUGAAAAAUUCAUCUGGGUACUAAGAGAUGCUGAUAAAGGAGAUGUUUUUAAUAAAGACAGUGAGAGAAAGGCUGAACUACCAAAAGGGUAUGAAGAUUCAAUACAAGGGAUGGGAAUAGUUGUAAGAGACUGGGUGCCCCAACUGGAGAUUUUAGCCCACCAAGCAAUAGGAGGUUUUAUGAGUCAUUGUGGUUGGAAUUCUUGCAUGGAGAGUAUUACUAUGGGAGUGCCAAUAGCAGCUUGGCCAAUGCAUUCAGAUCAACCAAGAAAUGCAGUUUUAAUAACUGAUGUUCUGAAGAUCGGGGUUAUUGUUAGGGAUUGGAGUCGUAGAGAUGAGAUUGUGACCUCGAAAAUGGUUGAAACUUGUGUUAAGAGCUUAAUGGCUUCAGAUGAAGGAGAUGGAAUGAGAAAAAGAGCUGCAGAAUUCGGUGACUCGUUGAAACGGUCGAUGGGUGAAGGUGGAGUUUCUCGCAUGGAAAUAGACUCUUUUAUUGCUUAUAUUUCUAGUUAAAUUUUAAGUUUGGUUAUAUUAUCUGUGUUAUGUGUUUUCUAUUUGGUCGUCUUUUUAAAGCAAGCCUCCAACUCCAAUGAGAUUGGAAUUUGAAGAUUAUUGCAAGUUUGAAUGGUUACUGUAAAUGUAUUUUUAUGUCUAUCAUCUGUGGGGCGGACUCAUAUACCGAUUUUAGGUAAGUCCAAUCCUCUACAAUUAACUAGGAAGAUAUUUUUUUCAAUUGACUUUGAUUGGGUAUUUGAUCAGUUUGCAUUUAGGGUUUUUAAAAUAAUUAGGAAAAUAUGAAUGUUUCCUUUUUGUUAGUUUUAUGGACAGAAGGCAUAGAACCAAAAAUUUAGUUGAAAGAAGUGAAAAUUCAUCUCAUCGAUCGGUUUUAUUUAGAUUCCUUUCAUUUUAUAAUAAUAGCCAUGACUUUGUUCUUCUAUCAUUUGGUGGCAAAAAGAAGAAGUUUUGUAAGAAAGAAAAACAAAAGAAAAAAUGAAACUGAGUAUUCAAGUUCUUUUACAUCUUAAUCAAAACUAUAUGAUUGCGAAGAAGACAGAUAGACAUGUCCAUGCAGGGAGGUACAACAAGCCAUUUGGAACCGUGGAUGGAUAGCAUCUUUUUUAAGCAUUAUUGGUUUCUUUCUAUCGAAUUGAAUGAAUUGGGAUAAGAUACCCAAAAGCCUAGACUUUAGAUGGUUCAAUUUCUUCUCAAAUAAUAGCCAUCAAAUCAUAAUCGAAGAGGGAAAAACAAAAAGGGUUCUGCACCAAAGCCAACAACUGUAAUCCUAACAAUAAUUCCCAUGUUCAUACUCUUGUAUGAAAAAAAAAAAAAAAAAAAAAACAUGUCAUGAGUUGCUGCUAUCCAAACAAUUGUGAUCAGUUUGGUUGGAACGAAUACUUUGGAUAGAAAAAAAAUCGAAUACAAGACUUCUCACUCUUUAUAUAAGAAAGGUAAUAAAAUUAAUAAGACUAUAUUUUAUUGGAAUAUCGGUUUUAAAUAUAAAUAUAAAUUUUUAAAAAACAUAUAAAUUGGUUCUGUGUUAUAAUCAAAUUAAUACAUGAAAAAUUUUAACUAUAGUGUUCUUAAAUUACGAUUUUAUUAACACUUUGAUCCUUCUAUAAAAAAUAUAAGGAUUAAGGUGUCAAUGGAAACUAUAAAGGAAGGACUAGAGUAGUAAUGAAAAUCAUAAAUUAUAUAUUUUAUAAUUAAUUAUGUUAUAAUUUAGGGACCAAUCAAUCAAUUAAUAAUUAAAAGAAGCUAUUUUGGAUGGAAAGUUCAACGUGUUUAGGGACUAUAAAUAAAUUAUAGAUAUCCUAAUUAAUUUUAAAAAUAGAAAGUUUUCCGAGUUAAUUUGACUAUAAUUAAAAUAUAUUAGUGUAUUAGUUAGGUUUGUUAGGCGUUGUCCGUUGUGGCGGGAAAGGUAUUGGACCAUAUAAACGUGAGCAUGUGCUGGAAGAGCUAUUUUCCCUUUGAGAGUGCUUCCAUGACCAUAUAAACCUAAGUAAGCUAUGAUUUUAGCUCCUAUAAUAUAUAUAGCUUUAACCUUUUUUUCCUUAGCAAAUCUAUGUGGAUAAGGAUUUGGACUAGGACUUCACAUUUUGGCUUUUAGCUGGUGCUUCUGUUUACGGGCAAUGUUCUGAUGUUUACAAAUUGAAAUCAAAACGUGAAUUUCAAUUAUGUUUUUUCGAUUAUGUUUUGUUUUGAUAGGUUGAAUAUCCUUAGGGAUGAAAAUAUAAAUUUAAUUUUUUUUAAAAAUGUAUUUUUUCGGAAAAAUUAAAUAUUUUUGUGCUAUAUAAUCCGAAUAUGGAUUACACCACCUCGUUCUAAAAAAAAAAAAUGUUUGUAACACUUGCUAAAAUUAGUUAAAAUCUAUUAUUCAAAUUGUUAUAUCAGCUUAAUAAACAUUAGAACUUAAACAAGAAUAAGUUGAAAAAAAAUAAACAUAAAUUCAGUUAUUUUUUCAUAAAGAAAUAAUAGUGAAGUAAUGAUCGAACUUACCCCUUUUUUUCUUUUUAGGCAAACAUCGGAGAGUUUCUUACCAGUAGCUCCUUUUGUUUUCUUUUGUUCUUUUUUCAGUGUCUUUUCAUAAUUUUCCGAUUUUUUUCUUUUUUUUUUUAUUAUUGUUAGAAAAAAAAUUAUCUCUAACAAAUCUUCUUAGAAAAUAUAUUUUGAAAAACUUAUUUUUAUGUUGUUUGAUUGCAAUACUGAAUGUUCAUUAGAAGAUAUUAAUAUAUUUAACUUAUAGACUCUAAAAUAUUUAGACACGUAAAAAUUUAAUUAACAUCUCAUUUAAUUUAUUGUUAAAUAUGAAAAGGAAAACAAAUAAGAUGAUAAUCCAUGACGGUGAUCAGAAAAAUAUUUCUAUUAAUUUAUUUUCAAAAAUAUAAAUAUGUUAUUAUUAUUAUUAUUAAAAUUAUCAUAUUGUGACUAGCUUCAAUAGAAUCUAUAUACAUAGAUACAUGUGGGUGUCCAAAAAGAUAGAUAGAAGAUAAAAAAAAAUUGCAUAUAGAAAGCAACAUCUAACUAUUUUAAUUAUGUAUAUCUACCUCCUUCAUAACUAGUUAUAUAAUAUGUGGCCAUAGACAUAGUAACUAUAACCCUUCAAGAAAUGAAUACACAGUGGAUAAGAGAAUUUAGGGCCUGCAGAUUUUUCCUCAGACAAACAGUAAUUAAUACAGAUGGGAAAGUUUGUUAGCUGUUUUCCCAACUGACAUAACCAUCAAACUUUAAGAAUUAAAGAUUGUGGAGAUGGGAAAGUUUGCUGGCUGUCUCUUCAAUUCAUUUGUCAUGUAGCUUCUUUAAUUCAUCUUUUGGUUCAUUCUUUUUGUUUUUAGAUAACAUUAAUUAAUUUAUGUAAGUUUAUGAAACAUUUGAUAGAUUAUGACUUAUUUAGGAUAUGUUUGGUUUACAUUAAUGAAACUGAAGGUCUUUAACUCAGGUGGUAGAUAGCUAAACUUAAUAAAAUUGAUGAGCAUAUAUAUACAUAUGAAUUCAAUAGCGAAUAUAAAUAUUUGAACUUACUUUAUAUAUAAUAAAUUGAUUUUGUCUAGCUCAGAUUGAUUUGUAUUGAUUCAUUCCUAGCUUUGUGUUGGUGUAAAACAUGUACACAAUGUACAUAUCUAUCAUUCCUAGCUUUGUGUUUGUGUAAUGCAAUGCAAUAUAAUAAAAAAUGUAAUACAAUGAAAAAUGUAAUGUAAUGGAAUGUAAUCAAGGUUCCAUAAUUAUGUUUAGUAAUGUAAUUGAGAAAAUUUAUUGAAUGUAAUCGCCGUUCCUUUUUAUGUUUAUUUGUGAAUAUGUAAUGUAAUUAGUACACCUCCACCACAAUCACUACUCUACCACCAUCAUCACUACCACAACCAUUACUCCAUCCCUCCAUCAUCACCACAUCAUUAUUAUACCAAAAAAUAUUUGAACAAAAAAUUAUUCGCUAUUUAUGCUAUUAAAGACCAUUUAGAUUUAUAAAUUUAUUUAAACUAAAAAAUUAAAAGAAUGUAAUCUAAAAAAAUGUAAUAUAACAAAAUAAAAGUUAAAGUCAUUAGUAAUUGAUUUUUUCAUAUAUUUUCAUUGAAUAAAUUAAAUUACAACAUAAAAUUAUGUGCAUUUUGAUAUUUUUUGUGCCUUUUCGUUUUAUUUUUUUCCAUUUGUAUAAUAAAAUAAAAGAAUAGAAUAUAAUUUUUAUUCCGCAUUGCAUAUUAAAUAAUAAAAUAUAAUUUUUAUUAAAUGGUGGUCAUGGUAGAGUGAUUGUGGUGGUGGUGGAGCGGUGGUGGUGGUGUUUGAAUGGUUAUAGUGGUGGUAGAGUGGUUGAAGUGGUGGUGGUAGUGGUGAUCAAGCGGUUGUGGUAGUGUUAGAAUUUUGAUUGGAGUGACUUGAUGUAACUGGUAUUACAUGUGCUUAAUAUAAUGACCAAUACAUGUGUUUUUUUUUUUUUUUUUUAUGUAAUGAAUAUUACAGCAAUUUAAGGAAUGGAGAUUACAUAGGUAAUCUCAAUUACAUUACAAUGUCAAAAAAAAAAAAGGUCUAACCAAACAAUGUAAUUAAUGAUGUAAUAUAAUUCUCAUUCCAUUACAUGAUUAAUUACACCAUACCAAAUAUGGCAUUACAUUUUCUUUGAGAUUUUCUAUGUUCACUUAUCACAAUUCUUAAAUUUUUUUUCCUAUCUUUCAAUUGGAAGAAAUAACACUUACGCACACAAAGAAAUAUACAUGAAGGAAGAAACAAGGAUUUGAAUCUCUAAAACAUUAGUAUCCCUAAGGGUAUCUAAUAAUUAAAACUUUUUAUUAUGAGGUUUCAUAUUUGAUUCCUAUUUGAAUUUCGACAUAUAUUAAAAAUAUUUUUAACAUUAAAAUUUUAGAACCUAAGGGUGUCUUUGGUACGCUGUAAUCAAUCAUGUAAUAGAACGAAAAUUACAUUACAUGACUGAUUACAUUAUUUGAUUACACUAUUUUUUAACAUUGUAAAAUAAUAAAAAUUACAUAUAUAAUCUUCAUUAUUUAAAUUGAUGUAAUAUUCAUUAUAUAAAAAAACACAUAUAUUAUCAAUUAUAUCAAGUACAUGUAAUACCUAUUAUAUCAAAUCAACCCAAUCAAAAUUCUCAUUCAAGGCUAUUUAACAUUACUAUGUCAGCACCACAACCACCAUCACCGUUCUACCACCUCAUAAUAAAAUGAUUAAAAAUGUUUGAAGGACAUUAUAUAUUUUUCACCCCAUUUGUACUCUUAUUGUGCCUGGCACAAGUUAAUUAUGCCAAAUGUGUUUUCUAUUUUAACAUAUAUAUAUAAAAAAAUUCAUUGCAAAUUUGAAAUAUCAAAUAAAAAUCUCUAAAAUAUCAGUACUAUAAAUUUGAAAUUUAUUGCACAACUUAAGAUGAAGCAAAAUAUCUUUGGAAAAAGUACCCAUGGUAUUUACAUCUUUUAGGAACACUCCAUUUUUAGACAACAAAAUAAGUUUUUGAUUGUCUUUGUGAGCAUGUAAAAUCAUUCUCAACAUAAAUCAUAAUAAUCUUUGCAACUAUGAAAUAUCUUUUUCUUUUCACUGUGAAAUCUUCACUUCAAUGCAUUAUUACAGAUUUCCAUUAGAACUUAAUUGGAGCUUUUCCUUUACUCCAGCAAACCACAUGUAGUUAAUUAUUAGCUCACAACUUUCUUUUUGUUUCAAUUUUUCUUUGAUUGAUUGAUUGAGAUCACUAGUUGUACAAAUUUUACUUAAGGAUAAGCAAUUUUACAAAUUAACAUUAGUAUCCUUUAUUAUGUUGAAAUUGAGAUUUAAGUUUAUAAUUAUUCUAUAGUUCUAAAACUAGUCAAUUAUCACUAUGGAAAAUUUUUAUCUACAUUCGGUGUAUAGAUCCACCCAUAUAAUAAAUUUUUUUAUUCAAAUGAGGAUAUUUCUGAUUAUUCACCGAAAAAGAGAUAAAUCGGUAAUAAGCUUUUAAAAUAUUAUUCAUUUUGUUUACUUCCGGGAAUAUUCCUUGUGUUCCCCUUAUAAAAAGGGUUCUAUCUAUUCCAUAUGCCGAACUGAAACUUAUCCUAAACGUAUUUUCAAACAGAAAACCAAAUGGCUAACCACCAAAGCCAAGGCCAACAAGCACAUGCCCUAUAUGGCUUUAAACAAACAAAAGUUAUUGUAGUUAUGGUGCCUCUCCCUGCACAAGGCCACCUCAACCAACUACUACAACUCUCCAGGCUAAUCUUAUCCUACGACAUUCCGGUCCACUUCGUUGGCACCACCACCCAUAACCGCCAAGCCAAGCUCCGCGUUCAUGGGUGGGACCCACAAGCAGCGGCAGCUGCCACUUCCAGUAUCCAUUUUCAUGACUUUGAAAUCCCUACCUUUUCAUGUCCUUCUGCAAACCCAAAUGCAAAAAACAAAUUCCCUUCUCACCUGCUUCCGGCUUUCUACGCCUCUGUAUCUAAUCUCCGAGAACCGGUGUCUUUUCUUCUCCGCUCGCUUUCUUGCCAAGCAAGAAAGAUUAUUGUUAUUCAUGAUUCUUUAAUGGGGUCAGUAGUUCAAGAAAUUCAGUUCAUUUCCAAUGCAGAAUCUUACACUUUCCACAGUGUAUCUGCUUUUACUCUCUGCUUGUUUCUUUCGGAGAA